GUAUAUCCUAUUUUCUCUGUCUCUACACACACACACACACACUCCCUCUCUCCCUCUCUCUCUCUCUCACUCUCUCUCUCUGUGGUGUCGCAUCCGAAGAAAGUAAACCUUAAACUUCCUUCCAUGCUCCACACACACACACACUCCCUCUCUCCCUCUCUCUCUCUCACUCUCUCUCUCUGUGGUGUCGCAUCCGAACAAAGUAAACCUUAAACUUCCUUCCAUGCUAUAUAUGUUUAUUCAUUUCUGAUUAUAGGAGAGGCAAUUUAUUUGGGCAUUUGCAAUUGGUGUAGUUGUGUUCACAAUUUCAAGACGUACGGCUAAAGGAUGAAAAGUAACUGGACAACUCUAAUGGCUUGUUUAAUUUGCUGUAAUUAAAAUGAGAUGAAUUGACUUAAUGAGAAAUUGAAAUGAUGAGGAAUUAGAAUGACGAAGAAUUUGAGUUCAUAUAAAUUGUUUACUAGUUCACUUGAUUUGAAAUGAAAAUGAAUAUAAUUACUAAAAUGUUCUUGUUUUUUUUUCUUGUUUUAUUUCAUCCUAUAUUUAUAUUUAAUAACAUUUUAAUUAGUUUUUUAUUUGUUUAUUUCAUGCCCUUAUACCAAAAAAAAUAAAUUUGUAUACAAAUUUAUUGAAUUACCAAUAUUAAAUAUUAAUUACACUUUAAUAAUGGCCUUUUUCAAACACAUUUGAGUAGAACGCUCCUCUCUUCUCUGCAAGUCUGCGUACAUUUUCUUCUCUGGCCCUCACCUCCAUCUUCCCCACACAUACUACCCCAUAGACACGAUCUCUUCUAUGGUAGAAGAGGUGGAAAGUAUUUCAUGGAUUUUUGGGUUUUUUGAGUGAUUGUUUCCUCGGAUUUGUGGGUUUGGGUCUGAAUUUGAAUUGUUUAUUUUCUAGGUUGGGUGAUUAAUUUUUGAAUCCGGUUUGUGGGAGAUGUGGCUGGGGUUCUUGAGUUGGUGGGUUGGGAAGUGAAGCAUGGCUCCACAUGAAGGUGGAAAGUGAGGCAGAGACGCAUGAAGGCAGGGUGCGCAAGGAGCGUUGGGCUUGUUGGGUUGAGUGGCAGACUAGAAAUUUCUGAAAUAACAGAAGGGCACAAUAGGUAGAAAAAUUGCAAUCUUGAGUCCCCUCACUCUUUCAUCCAUUUAAGGAGUCAAAUUCCUCCAAUUUGGGAUCACUUAGUACUACGGUAUAGUGGUAUUCUUCUUUAUUUAUAAAUAAGAGGUCUUAGGUUCAAUUCUUGCCAAAAACGAAUUUGAACCACUUUAUUGGAGAGUUGGAUUCCUCCAAUUUGGGGAGUUGGACUCCUUAUUUUGUGUGGGGCCCAUCCCUAUUUUGAUUCUUCUAAAGUUAGUAAAUACUUCACUACUCCGCAAUUAAAAUUCAAUUUCUUAUUUUAAUUCUGAUUACGGGUGUAUAAAAAGUUAUAAUUUUUAUUUGGGGUAUUUGAAAUCUGUUCAUUUUUUGUUUUAAUUCAAAGAUCAUCAUUAUCAAAACUCAUUCAAAUUAGAAAUCAUUUAUUCAUUUACGUUUUUGUUAUCAUUGCACAUAACUCAAAAGCCACCGGCGCUAGUGCUGGAAAAUGUAUUUGGCCAGCCACCGUCAAUGGUUGUUUAGUGUAAUCAUUGGACCCUGAUGAUAUAUAGGGGACUACAUCUAAUAAAAACUACUCUUAUUUGUUUCUUAUGAUUUUAUUUGUUUAGCAUUUGUGUUUUCUUGCUUAGAGGUUUAUAUAUACUUGAAUGCGAAAUAUACAUGUUAUAACACUUCUGCCCGACACUUUCAAUUAUAUAUGGUGGCGUUUUAACAGGUGGGGUUGCCCUCCAAGCAAGUUUCCAUGGACAUACAGUGACAAAGAGACUUGCUAUCUGCUACAAGGCAAAGUGAAGGUUACCCCUGAUGGAUCCAAUGAGUCGG
RNAcentral lists this long non-coding RNA (1914 nucleotides) under Malus domestica (apple). RNAcentral describes it as "long non-coding RNA (MDOM_LNC018064)". The record is from RNAcentral. Lineage: Eukaryota; Viridiplantae; Streptophyta; Magnoliopsida; Rosales; Rosaceae.